Molecule: ribosomal RNA, 375 nt
Filed under: uncultured organism
Description: partial 16S ribosomal RNA
Rfam family: Bacterial small subunit ribosomal RNA
Source: RNAcentral
GUAGGUGGCAAGCGUUGUCCGGUAAUUAUUGGGGCGUAAAGCGCGCGCAGGCGGUUCUUUAAGUCUGAUGUGAAAGCCCACGGGCUCAACCGUGGAGGGUCAUUGGAAACUGGAGAACUUGAGUACAGAAGAGGAAAGCGGAAUUCCACGUGUAGCGGUGAAAUGCGUAGAGAUGUGGAGGAACACCAGUGGCGAAGGCGGCUUUCUGGUCUGUAACUGACGCUGAGGCGCGAAAGCGUGGGGAGCAAACAGGAUUAGAUACCCUGGUAGUCCACGCCGUAAACGAUGAGUGCUAAGUGUUAGGGGGUUUCCGCCCCUUAGUGCUGCAGCUAACGCAUUAAGCACUCCGCCUGGGGAGUACGGCCGCAAAGGCUG